GAUGAACGCUGGCGGCGUGCCUAAUACAUGCAAGUCGAGCGAACGGACGAGAAGCUUGCUUCUCUGAUGUUAGCGGCGGACGGGUGAGUAACACGUGGAUAACCUACCUAUAAGACUGGGAUAACUUCGGGAAACCGGAGCUAAUACCGGAUGAUAUUUUGAACCGCAUGGUUCAAAAGUGAAAGACGGUCUUGCUGUCACUUAUAGAUGGAUCCGCGCUGCAUUAGCUAGUUGGUAAGGUAAUGGCUUAUCAAGGCAACGAUGCAUAGCCGACCUGAGAGGGUGAUCGGCCACACUGGAACUGAGACACGGUCCAGACUCCUACGGGAGGCAGCAGUAGGGAAUCUUCCGCAAUGGGCGAAAGCCUGACGGAGCAACGCCGCGUGAGUGAUGAAGGUCUUCGGAUCGUAAAACUCUGUUAUUAGGGAAGAACAUAUGUGUAAGUAACUGUGCACAUCUUGACGGUACCUAAUCAGAAAGCCACGGCUAACUACGUG
Molecule: ribosomal RNA, 497 nt
Filed under: uncultured bacterium
Lineage: Bacteria
Description: partial 16S ribosomal RNA
Rfam family: Bacterial small subunit ribosomal RNA
Source: RNAcentral